GCUCUCCUAGGCAGACUGCCUACCACGGCUGACGAGCUCCACCUGCCCGGGUUUAUUGUUCGGAGUUUGCUCUCCUAGGUGUAUUACCUAUGACGGCUCACGAGCCCAACCUGCCCGGGUUUAUUGUUCGGAGUUUGCUCUCCUAGGUGAACUGCUUUCGCUAACGACCUCCACCUGCCCGGGUUUGUAAUCGGAGUUUGCUCUCCUAGGUGAAUUGCUUUCGCUAACGACCUCCACCUGCCCGGGUUUGCAAUCGGAGUUUGCUCUCCUAGGUGAACUGCUUUCGCUAACGACCUCCACCUGCCCGGGUUUGUAAUCGGAGUUUGCUCUCCUAGGUGAAUUGCUUUCGCUAACGACCUCCACCUGCCCGGGUUUGUAAUCGGAGUUUGCUCUCCUAGAUGAACUGCUUUCGCUAACGACCUCCACCUGCCCGGGUUUAUUGUUCGGAGUUUGCUCUCCUAGGUGUAUUACCUAUGACGGCUCACGAGCCCAACCUGCCCGGGUUUAUUGUUCGGAGUUUGCUCUCCUAGGUGAAUUGCCU
This is a long non-coding RNA of Eriocheir sinensis (Chinese mitten crab), 541 nucleotides long. RefSeq lists it as uncharacterized. The record is from RefSeq and is a predicted model, not a curated record. The transcript has 4 exons. Lineage: Eukaryota; Metazoa; Arthropoda; Malacostraca; Decapoda; Varunidae.